UGCAGUGGCAGGACUUAGCCCACAUGUGAACACUGCAUGCCACGCCAUGUUCACAGUGGUUAAGUUCUACCACUCUG
RNAcentral lists this microRNA precursor (77 nucleotides) under Scleropages formosus (Asian bonytongue). RNAcentral's name for it is "mir-27 microRNA precursor family". It matches the Rfam family "mir-27 microRNA precursor family". Lineage: Eukaryota; Metazoa; Chordata; Actinopteri; Osteoglossiformes; Osteoglossidae. The record is from Rfam by way of RNAcentral.